UUUUUGGUUGAAUGCCAGACACAGUAUGUAGAAUAGUAGACUAAAAUAAAUACAUAUGCCUGCAAAUGCACAAGGCUUUUCUUCUGCUUGGCUCCUGAUGUGGGGGUUGAGUCAAUUUAGUCAGGAAUAAAAUUGGGUUUGGUUUUUGGUGUUGAUGGGGUUACUUUCAGUGUACCACCAACUUAAGUUUUUCUAGAGAUGCUUUAUGUUUAGGGUGGUGGCUGGGGUGCAGAGGGUUGUUGUUGUUGUUGUCAUCAUUUUUAAUCAUUUCUGAACGUUGUCAGCUUUCAGUAUUCUCUGUGUGUCUGCAGCUAAAAGAGGGGGUCCAUGUUCUUGUCCUUCCCCCGUACAGUAGACUGCUGUGCUAGUCUGGAGGUGGUGAACAAAAAUAUUCUGUUUCCUGAUCUAGUUUUGACACAGGCAGGCCCUGUGUCCCUGGGUCUUGGGGGUGAGGCUUUUUCAGUGAUCCAGCCUACUUUCCUGUGGCAGCCAAACUCUGCCUUAUAACUUUGGUGGGUCUUACAAUGGAGAGAGUUUCCUGUUCCUUUACCAGCAGUAGGAGACAUCUAAGGGUAUUAGUAUAGGAUUCUGGGCUCAGAAUGAUUUCCUUCUGACUCUACCUCAAGGGCAGAGUUUCUUCUUUUACCCUAAUGCCACCUGUGAUGGAUCUUCAACUAUGUUCUGGGGAUGACAGAGUUUUCUGCCCAAUAUCUCUCAGGACUUUAGGGCUUUAUUCCAAGGAGGGCAACAGUUGAAUACUGAGUUUUGUGCCUCUGCCACAGCGGCAGCCCUCUACGUUGUGAGGUAUGCUCCAGUUUCCUAUCCUAUGUCUAGUCUUUUGUGUGAGCACACAGUAGUGGUUUGUAGAGCAGAGCUUUCAAGUGGGAGUUUGCCCCCAUGAUUUUAUAUGCUCAUAUAAACCCUCCUUUGGUUUUUAGAAGUUAAAGUUUUUUUAUUACCUGAAUUCUUCUUACCCAUUUGUAUGGCACCUGAUGCCUUUUCUUCCUGUGCUCUGUCACAAAUGAUUCAGUGUCUGAGUCUCAUUUUUCCUUAAAGGGCCCAUCUUUCCUUAGUUUUCAGGCUACUUGGUUGCCCUACAACCUCAUUUUUCUGAUAGGUUCAAUAAAAGUUACAAUUUUCUUGUUGUUAGGGUAGGAGUGACAUUCUUCCUGCCUUUCUUCAUCCAAAACAGAAACAGAAUUUUGGGUUAUUCAUUCUGAAUGGGAAGGAACAAGGGGAAUGGAGGAGAAACCACAGUGGAGUGAGACAAGGAGAUUUUUCACUAAUGGAGAAGAAGGAUGUACCAGCUGACCAAGGAUAUGGUAUUCCAAAACAAGGAUGGGGAUGUUUGCUAAAUCACAAGAAGCAGAAAGGUGUGACUCAAUUAGCAGUUAAUAUGUGUAGCAAUUCACUAAGACAGAGACAUGCACUGAGGCUGAAUCUCUAUGUCAGCCAGACAGAGUUGGCCCAUUGGAGGUGACAAGGUGAAACCAUGUCCCAUAGGGUUAAGGAGGUUAAAAUUGCCACCAGCAAGAGCCCACUGACCCCUUCAUCUUCUUCACAAAAAUGUUAACCUUAUCUUUUAGAGGAAAACAACAGGAAGACCUCUGGUGGCUCAGACCAAUUUGAGCUUGAUGGUUGAGUCACAUCUACAUAGAUGGACCAUGGAGUGCCCAACAGUUAUGUCUACAUCAUUGUAAUGUUAAAAUCUCCAUCCAAAGAGGAACAUAAGCUUCAUUAACAUAACAUAGGGUACAUGCAUAGGCAUGUUUUCUAAGUAAGCCCACGCAACAACAUUAUGCUCUCCAUUACAUAUGAUGACAAAUCUCCCCUUUCUGAAGAUUUAUCCUACUCCUAAAUAAAACAAGCCACUCACCCCCACUCAGGAAGUCAUGGCCUUGGAAUUUAUUCCCCGCGAUUCUCAUUUCUGUUGCAAAUAAAGUUUCCUUCAUGUGAUAAUUCCCCCUGGUAUGGUCUCUAUCACCAAGGAGUGAACUCAGUUCAGUUACAAUGGUAGGAGCCUGAUCCGGAUACACCCGAGGGAUAAGGAAGAAGUGGCAAGUACUGGCCUUUGCACAAUGAAGGGUGGCUGGCUUACAGUAUUACACCCCCAAGUGCCCAACAAAUGAACUCUGAAAUGUCUUCUCCCCAGCAACUCUGAGACUGCUCUGCACAUGGGGAAAUUUCCAUCUCCUGAUUUCAGUCAUUUCUGGAUUCUUGCCUAUUCCUUCCCUCAAAUAGUUUUCUUUUUAUCUUAAUUCUGAACUCCUACUUGUCUCUCUGCUUAUCAUCUCCUCUCUCCCCUUCAGUCCAUCCUAUGAAUCGGCAUCAUAAAACAUAAAGCAUCAGUGUUUUCCUCUAUUCUCACAAAAUGUCACCAGCUCUUCCUUGCCUGGAUGACUGUCACAAACUUAAAUGCUCACAGGGACCAGGCAGGAAGCAUGACCAAUUGAGGAAAGUGAGACUGACCAAAAGCACACACAUGCCUGGUUGCAGCAAACAAAUGCUUCUCAACCCCAGGAUACUCUUGUGAAGUGAGAAUACAGGCUAUGUGGACAGGUUUUCUGAUUUUCCCAGAUAAGCUGGAAAUCUAGAUUUUUGCAUGAGUUUUCCAAUUUGUAAUGUUGGCAACUAAUUUAAAAAUUUGUCAAAAUAGUGUGUGGGCCAGAGAAAACAAUCUGUGGCCGGAUAUGCCAUGACAGCUGCUAGUUCACAACCCCUGGCUUGGAAAAUCAGCUCCACAUCUCUCCGCUUGAUAUGUGAGGCAUUGCUCACCCCACCACCCUGCCUUUUCAAGAACUGAGCCCAUAGGCCAGACAAUUGGAAAGAUGUCAAGUCCAUGGUACACAGUGGUCAGUCUUCAGACUCAUCCAGGAGCUGAAUGCCCCUGUUUGCAACAACCUAACCCUGCAUUUCUCAUCAUUAAAACCUCCCUGAUUUCCAGAGCUGUGUGACUCCUCUCCCAGUACAGGAUCUUCUUUGACAGCUUCAUGACCCCUCUCCUGACCUU
This 3010-nucleotide long non-coding RNA is filed under the name Canis lupus familiaris (dog). RNAcentral's name for it is "lncRNA (ENSCAFG00000056090.1)". Lineage: Eukaryota; Metazoa; Chordata; Mammalia; Carnivora; Canidae. The record is from RNAcentral.